Molecule: ribosomal RNA, 492 nt
Filed under: uncultured bacterium
Lineage: Bacteria
Description: partial 16S ribosomal RNA
Rfam family: Bacterial small subunit ribosomal RNA
Source: RNAcentral
AGUGAACGCUGGCGGUAGGCCUAACACAUGCAAGUCGAGCGGCAGCACAGUAAGAGCUUGCUCUUACGGUUGGCGAGUGGCGGGCGGGUGAGGAAUACAUCGGAAUCUACUUUUUCGUGGGGGAUAACGUAGGGAAACUUACGCUAAUACCGCAUACGAUCUACGGGUGAAAUCAGGGGAGCUUCGGACCUUGCGCGAUUGAAUUAGCCGAUGUCGGAUUAGCUAGUUGGCGGGGUAAAGGCCCACCAAGGCAACGAUCCGUAGCUGGUCUGAGAGGAUGAUCAGCCACACUGGAACUGAGACACGGUCCAGACUCCUACGGGAGGCAGCAGUGGGGAAUAUUGGACAAUGGGCGCAAGCCUGACCCAGCCAUACCGCGUGGGUGAAGAAGGCCUUCGGGUUGUAAAGCCCUUUUGUUAGGAAAGAACAGAAGCAGGUUAAUACGCCGCUGUUCUGACGGUACCCAAAGAAUAAGCAACGGCUAACUUCGUG